RNAcentral lists this non-coding RNA (89 nucleotides) under Lactobacillus pasteurii. Its description in RNAcentral is "TPP sequence". It matches the Rfam family "TPP riboswitch aptamer (THI element)". From Rfam's summary of the family: Vitamin B(1) in its active form thiamin pyrophosphate (TPP) is an essential coenzyme that is synthesised by coupling of pyrimidine and thiazole moieties in bacteria. The previously detected thiamin-regulatory element, thi box was extended, resulting in a new, highly conserved RNA secondary structure, the THI element, which is widely distributed in eubacteria and also occurs in some archaea. Analysis of operon structures identified a large number of new candidate thiamin-regulated genes, mostly transporters, in various prokaryotic organisms. RNAcentral also lists the same sequence under 1 other name. Lineage: Bacteria; Bacillati; Bacillota; Bacilli; Lactobacillales; Lactobacillaceae. The record is from RNAcentral.
ACUUAAUUAACGGGGUGCCACUAGGCUGAGAACAUACCCAUUGAACCUGUCUGGAUAAUGCCAGCGUAGGGAAGAUGAUUUCAAGCACG